UACGUAGGUGGCAAGCGUUGUCCGGAUUUACUGGGCGUAAAGAGCGCGCAGGCGGUCGUUCAAGUCGCGUUGUGAAAGCCCCCGGCUCAACUGGGGAGGGUCACGCGAUACUGAUCGACUCGAAGGCAGGAGAGGGUAGUGGAAUUCCCGGUGUAGUGGUGAAAUGCGUAGAUAUCGGGAGGAACACCAGUGGCGAAGGCGACUACCUGGCCUGUUCUUGACGCUGAGGCGCGAAAGCUAGGGGAGCAAACGGGG
Molecule: ribosomal RNA, 255 nt
Filed under: uncultured bacterium
Lineage: Bacteria
Description: partial 16S ribosomal RNA
Rfam family: Bacterial small subunit ribosomal RNA
Source: RNAcentral